Molecule: long non-coding RNA, 222 nt
Filed under: Ananas comosus (pineapple)
Lineage: Eukaryota; Viridiplantae; Streptophyta; Magnoliopsida; Poales; Bromeliaceae
Description: long non-coding RNA (ACOM_LNC044126)
Source: RNAcentral
CAUAUGAGGAGAACUAAUCUGAUAAUAUCAUCACACAGAUAAAAAAUAAGUACUUAUGCCAAAAUUUAAUUUGAAAAACGUCGACGCUGCGCAAAAACAUAUUCCUUUACAAGGCCUUAAUUAUUACAUCACCUUUUGCAUAAUUAAAACCUACUACAUCACUACAAGAUGUACAUCAGAAAAUGAAUAUUCUACAGGAAUGCUGCACGCGUCGAACCCGUC